UUACCCGGAAAUGGGCAAAGGCACCUUAUUGGUGGUAUUGCUCUUACGUCAGUCAGGGACAGAGCAGAUGGCAGUCCUUUGUUCAUCCUAGGUUGGUGCCUGCCUUUGUGGCCCAAGCUGUUUUAUGCCUAGGACACAUAC
Molecule: small nucleolar RNA, 141 nt
Organism: Meriones unguiculatus (Mongolian gerbil)
Lineage: Eukaryota; Metazoa; Chordata; Mammalia; Rodentia; Muridae
Product: small nucleolar RNA SNORA48
Exons: 1
Source: RefSeq, a predicted model, not a curated record